Molecule: long non-coding RNA, 3508 nt
Organism: Heterocephalus glaber (naked mole-rat)
Lineage: Eukaryota; Metazoa; Chordata; Mammalia; Rodentia; Bathyergidae
Source: Ensembl
GUACAGUAAACCGUGACUUUCUCCUGUAGCUUCAUUGUGGAAACAUUUCUUCCUAGUGGCUUUCUGAAAAUUAACACAAGAUUUAUUUUUGUGAAAAAUAAGACAUAUGUAUUUUUAUUUUAUUAUUUGGCUUUUUGCCAUUUGUAUUUAUUUCAUUCAGUUUUGCUGAAAUUUUUCUCUUUUAUUGAUGGGAAGCUAAGUAAGGCAUCAGUUUGGUUUUCUAGAGUGGUCCUACAAGCUGGGAUGUAAUUUGGGAGGCCUCUUUGCCUUUGGGAGCGUGUGAAUACAUGUUUCUGUGAGGUCACCAGAAGCUCAAGAGGCCUAGGUCAAAGGGCCUCUCCUCUCUGAGGUGUGGCUGAGAAGCACAGGGAGCGGGGAGGUCCCUCCCAGGUGGUGGACAUGAGUGUUCUGUCCGGGACCCCAUUGUGUUCUCUCUCCAGGGAGCUACCAUCAAGCGCCACGAGAUGACAGGACAUCCUGGUGGCCAGGGUCAUCCACGGAGGGCUGCUAGAGGGGAGUGCAGAGCCUGCAGCCACGGGGAGCGCAGCAGGUCGUACAGGAGACUCUCCACUCAUGUCGCGGCUAUAGAACAGACUCAGCUCUCACAGCAGGAGCCUCAGGAUGCCAGAGAGGCCUAGAGGAGAGGAAGCCCGAGACCAGGUGGCCAGAACAGCAGGUUGUCCACCAAUUCAGAAAAUCAUGUCAUUAAUAGCAACGGUCCUUGUGGUACUGAGAAAAUCACAACACACCACUUCAGGUGAGGAAUCUAACAUUCAAGAGGUAAUCAGAAGAGCAGUAAAACCAGCUCUCCUUUGUUAGUCCUGAAGUGCUGAAAGAGUCUUUCAGUCUCAUGACUGCUGCACCAACUUUGUCAGUUGAGACUUGGCUGUUUCUGCUAUCUUGAGGACGAGAAUUCCUGAUGAAGUGUACAAGCCAAUGCCACGAGCAUGCAAUUUGGGGCUGAUCAAGAGGAAGGAUGGCCAGUGCUUGUCAUUGACCCAGAAACUGCACCGUCACUACUGACUUGUAAGGCCUUCAUCCUAAGCAUUACUUUAAAAGUCAUAUUUCCAUUAGCUCUAAAAAAUAUCCUGAUUACUAUUCAAAGCUUCAGCCUCCUUUCGCAUUAUGCUUGUUUUUUUCAAAACAAUGCUUUGAAGAGACAAAGCUGGAAAAAGCAGUUGAAAAGUCAAAAUUGCUCCAUACUAAAUGGUUGGCAUCCUCUGAUUCAAAUGCUGUUGAUUAGGACUGGACAUGUGCUGUUUUACUCAAGCUCCAAAACACUCAUAAUUUCAUACUUCAAUAGCUUCUCAAAGCAGAACCUGCUUUCACAAUCAUAAAAUUCUCCAGGUGAUUUGAGCACCUAUGAAAUCCCUUUUAGAGUUCUACUGUUCACAAUUAACAAUGUAUAGAAAAGCUAGACAAUAAUGAUGUCUUCUGUAACAGAUUUAUCAGUUUCUUUCCUGCAAGACUGUAACAUUGCUCCUGUCCAGACAAAAGCCUGAGUAGAAAAUCCUCAUGGGCUAUUAGCUGCCAAAGUCACCUCACUGCUCUAGAUAAAAUUCCUGCAUAUCCUCUUUGAUAUAAUCCACAGACCUAACCCAGCCUAAUCACUAAAUUACUCAGAAGCUUCCCUGUCACAAGUGUUCCUUGCAUUGACCCACCUAAUUUAUAUAAUUUCCAAACUUCCUCUAGUAUUUUCUCACACUUCAAGCACAUAGAAUUAUUAUAGUGCAUUAGUAUUUUUUGUUGACUAUUUCAGAAUAACAGAUGCCCUACAAUAGAUGGGAUUUUUAUUUUAAUGGAAGGAAAACCUGGAGGUACAUGGAGUAAACUGACCUAGUAACCUUAUUUUCUUAUAUUCGGGUGAGAAAACAAUGGGACUCUUCUGCCAGGAAUCACAAGGCCCAUUAGGAACAGCUUUUUCUGGUCAAUACCCUGUGAAGCGUUUUUUUUUUUUUGGAGACAGGGCCUUGCCAUGUAGUUCAGGCUGGGCUUGAACUAUGCAGCCUAGGUUGGCCUUGAACUCACGGGGGAUCCUCCUGCUUUAGCCUCCUGAGGGCUGGGAUGACAGGUGUGUGCCAGCAUGCCUGUGAAGCCUCUGCUGUGAAUGUAGUCAGCCUCGGCACUCUGUAUGCUCAGAGACUAGCACCACGUCUGUGGAAGCUCAGUCCCGAGGCUGAAAUGGCACAGCAGUCCACAGGACCUAUGUACAUCCUCCUUAACCACUUUAGAUCACUUCUGGAUGACUUGUAAAAUACAAUGUACACACUUGUAUAAGGAAUAAUGACAAGGAAAAAACUCUGUACCUAUUCAGUACAGAUGCAUCCACACACACACACAUUUUCCAUUCAGUUGACUCCACAACGUGAAAUUUGCAGACAGGAAAAAAAGCCAACUGUCUUUAUUAAAAAUUUGUAUUACUGUAUAAGGGAUGGUCAGCAGAAAGAGCAUCUGGAAAUAGGUUUCACAUAAAGACCAAGAGGAACGGUGCUGCUCACUGACAAAAGACCAAAUGCCAACUGUGAAAAGUUUUCAGUCCUUUGUAACUCAAACACAUGGCUUUCUUCGUCCACCCACUGUAGAGGAAAACACAACCUGGAAUUUACACAUUUAUGAGUAUUCUGAGUACAGCAUAUUUUACCAAAAACAAUUUUAAGUUUUCACUUUUAACUUUGAAAAUUUCUAAACCUAGCUAUAAAAUGUUGUCUCUGGCUGUGGUAGCGUAACACCGGAGCUGGAGUAGGGAAGUUAAAGGCUAGAGUCUUAGGUCUGACAGUGAGCACAUCUCGCUCCUCCUUGUUGUAGGUGGGGAGAAAGGCGGUAGAUUCCACUCCUAGGCGCUGGGAGCAGCUGUCAUACUUGUGAAAGAUCUUCUUGAGUUGGUAAGCAAGUGCUAGGUAUUUCUACUUACAGACACUGGCCUAGAGGUUUAGGGCUUUUCCCUGAGAUGAAAAUUUAUAAUUUUAAUACUCUGUCUGGAAAGUAUAAAUAUAUAGAAUGAAGAAUCCAAAGUAACUGGACAGUUUUAAGACUCCAGUGAAAGGACUGGUUGCAUCAUGUCCUUCUAGCCUGGAGAUGGCUGUUGUCAUUGGGGAAUUUCUUGAUGGGUUCAUUGAUCUUGAAUGGACAAAGCUUUUUUGGGGGGGCUCGUUUGCACAUAUUAUCUCUCUUAAGGAACUAGAUGUUCAAUAAAUCUGUCUUUGCCAGCCAAAUAUGCUAUUCGCAUGUGUUUUCAGAAAGUCAAAACAAUCCCGAUAGAAAUGGAAACUGUUUAACCCAGACCUUUCGUUCAGUUGGUCCUUUCACACACAGCGCAGGGAGCAUGACUGAUACCUCACGUUUCUAACUAGAAUUUUAAAUCCUCCUUCUUUCCUUCCCUGAAACUGCUCAUGAGAUAAAAAACAGGAAAAUGAGCACCUUUUAAAAUAUGUCCUUUAUUCAAAGAAAUAAUAGAUUUCUUUUAAGACUCUCAUCCUUGGGUUAUUAGAAUCAGAAAGUUAACUUGUUG